Molecule: long non-coding RNA, 237 nt
Organism: Salvelinus fontinalis (brook trout)
Lineage: Eukaryota; Metazoa; Chordata; Actinopteri; Salmoniformes; Salmonidae
Exons: 4
Source: RefSeq, a predicted model, not a curated record
CCGUCAUGCUACACUAUACUGGGGUGAUGGGGGGGGGGUCAACAUGUUGGAGGUGCUCCGUCAUGCUACACUAUACUGGGGUGAUGGGGGGGUCAACAUGUUGGAGGUGCUCCGUCAUGCUACACUAUACUGGGGUGAUGGGGGGGUCAACAUGUUGGAGGUGCUCCGUCAUGCUACACUAUACUGGGGUGAUGGGGGGGUCAACAUGUUGGAGGUGCUCCGUCAUGCUACACUAUA